This 520-nucleotide unclassified non-coding RNA is filed under the name Bombus terrestris (buff-tailed bumblebee). RNAcentral describes it as "misc RNA ENSBTSG00005038556.1". The record is from RNAcentral. Lineage: Eukaryota; Metazoa; Arthropoda; Insecta; Hymenoptera; Apidae.
UAAGUCUUAUAAACAUCAUGAAACAAAUUUAGGUUAUACUCGCGAACAUGCUGAUAAACCUCGCCUAACUGUCAUAUAUAAAACUUUAAAAAUUAUGGUAUUAAUGAAAAAGAAAUUGAUCAAUGUUAAAUUAGUAAAGAUGAUUUCUUUGUGAUAUAUAAACAAUCUUCCUUUUAGCCAUGAUGUCUUUGACAUUUAAAAAUUAUAAAGUUUAUUUCCAAAACGACGACUCCACGCUCACCGCCAUGAUGAAGAGAAAAGAACGGAACUACGCAUGCGCACAAAUCACGAUGCAUUCUGGCAUUUUUUCAAAACCAGUGGAAAGAGAUACACAAGAUAUAUAUAUAUAUAUAUAUAUAUAUAUAUAUAUACACAAAUAUAGAUACAAGAUAUUUAAGUGUGUUAUAUAUGUAUGUAUAUACAAUAUAUAUGCAUGGAAAGUAUUCAAGACUCUGGAGGUAUGAUGUCGUACAAACAGGUCUGGACGCUCCUAUACUGAAAGUACUGACGAAACCAUAAA